RNAcentral lists this ribosomal RNA (497 nucleotides) under uncultured bacterium. RNAcentral describes it as "partial 16S ribosomal RNA". It matches the Rfam family "Bacterial small subunit ribosomal RNA", at positions 28 to 507 of the family's 1533-position model. The record is from RNAcentral.
GAUGAACGCUGGCGGCGUGCCUAAUACAUGCAAGUCGAGCGAACAGACGAGGAGCUUGCUCCUCUGACGUUAGCGGCGGACGGGUGAGUAACACGUGGAUAACCUACCUAUAAGACUGGGAUAACUUCGGGAAACCGGAGCUAAUACCGGAUAAUAUAUUGAACCGCAUGGUUCAAUAGUGAAAGACGGUUUUGCUGUCACUUAUAGAUGGAUCCGCGCCGCAUUAUCUAGUUGGUAAGGUAACGGCUUACCAAGGCAACGAUGCGUAGCCGACCUGAGAGGGGGAUCGGCCACACUGGAACUGAGACACGGUCAAGACUCCUACGGGAGGCAGCAGUAGGGAAUAUUCCGCAAUGGGCGAAAGCAUGACGGAGCAACGCCGCGUGAGAGAUGAAGGUCUUCGGAUCGUAAAACUCUGUUAUUAGGGAAGAACAAAUGUGUAAGUAACUAUGCACGUCUUGACGGUACCUAAUCAGAAAGCCACGGCUAACUACGUG